GAUGAACGCUGGCGGCGUGCCUAAUACAUGCAAGUCGAGCGAACGGACGAGUAGCUUGCUUUUCUGAUGUUAGCGGCGGACGGGUGAGUAACACGUGGAUAACCUACCUAUAAGACUGGGAUAACUUCGGGAAACCGGAGCUAAUACCGGAUAAUAUUUUGAACCGCAUGGUUCAUAAGUGAAAGACGGUCUUGCUGUCACUUAUAGAUGGAUCCGCGCUGCAUUAGCUAGUUGGUAAGGUAACGGCUUACCAAGGCAACGAUGCAUAGCCGACCUGAGAGGGUGAUCGGCCACACUGGAACUGAGACACGGUCCAGACUCCUACGGGAGGCAGCAGUAGGGAAUCUUCCGCAAUGGGCGAAAGCCUGACGGAGCAACGCCGCGUGAGUGAUGAAGGUCUUCGGAUCGUAAAACUCUGUUAUUAGGGAAGAACAUAUGUGUAAGUAACUGUGCACAUCUUGACGGUACCUAAUCAGAAAGCCACGGCUAACUACGUG
Molecule: ribosomal RNA, 497 nt
Filed under: uncultured bacterium
Lineage: Bacteria
Description: partial 16S ribosomal RNA
Rfam family: Bacterial small subunit ribosomal RNA
Source: RNAcentral